ACCCAAAGUCAGAGCACAGUAUGACCCCAAAUUAUUGCCUGGCCUCUGUGCCCCCAGGCUAUGGGUACUGAAGUGGGUUGCAUAGUG
Molecule: small nucleolar RNA, 87 nt
Organism: Bison bison bison
Lineage: Eukaryota; Metazoa; Chordata; Mammalia; Artiodactyla; Bovidae
Source: Ensembl